Molecule: long non-coding RNA, 427 nt
Organism: Aquila chrysaetos chrysaetos
Lineage: Eukaryota; Metazoa; Chordata; Aves; Accipitriformes; Accipitridae
Exons: 4
Source: RefSeq, a predicted model, not a curated record
CAAAACAGAAAAACAGUCAAAGCACAGUCUCCUUGGUAGAGUUAUCUCACCAUAUAGGUAUGUUCUUCCAUCUAAAUUUCAAAGGUGAAGUCAAGAGAAGAGAACAGUUAUGUCACUUAUGCAGAAGACCCUUCAAAAAAAAGUCUUCACUGGCACUGCUAGAAAUACCCACAACUUCAUUCUGAUCACAUAUAGGUCUCUGCAUCACCUUCCUCAUACAUAAAUGGGCAGAUGGAUUCCUGAUUGUUUUCCUGUGGUCACCAAUGCAUCUGAGGGACCCAUCUGAGUGACAGCUAAGGUUAACUGUCUGGACAGCUGUGAGUCAAGCCUUCAAGACACGCUGCUUUAUCUGAUUGGUCUCAGUCUUGAUCUGGAACAUGAAAGAAAAUGUGAGGAAGUUUCAAGCAGAGAUAAUUUUGCAAGUCCA